Molecule: long non-coding RNA, 2628 nt
Organism: Macaca mulatta (Rhesus monkey)
Lineage: Eukaryota; Metazoa; Chordata; Mammalia; Primates; Cercopithecidae
Source: Ensembl
AUUUGACUUUUAUUUCUACAGUCUUAAGUCUGGAUUUUUUUUUCAUUAAUUUAUUUGAUUUAAUACAGAAAGAAAAGCGGGAUUGUUGUAUGGAUGACCACAGAAGUUUGGGUUGCCUCAUGACAGGUGAAUCACCAGGAGGAACACUUUUCCUGCUGAGAGGGAUUGCACCCAAGCUCACUUUCAGAAGUACCUUCACUUUCUCUUUGUGGCUUAUCUUUGUUCAGCUGAUGAUCCCCUUAAGGUAUAUCUGAAAUUGGUAAAGUACGUGAUUUUAUCAGUUCACACUGUUUGACAAUCUUAGACUUCUAGUCAGUCUGAAGUGACUUUAUGUUCUUCUUUGCAUAGUGUUGAAAUAUGCCUUUUAAAAAACUCUGCAUUUUAUUUUCUCCCUAUUUCUAGUUUUUCAAGUAGUGAUAGAUCAUUUGUAUUUGAUGACUAUUUACUAUUAUUUACCUUUAUGUUCUAUUUGGUAUAUUUACACUGAUACUAGUAAGGCACUUUUAAUGCAAUUUGAAAUGCAGAAUUUAUGCUAAGGAGACUGCUAUCGUCCAAAUAUUUGUGUUCGCUCCCUCAAAUGCGUAUGUUGAAAUCCUCACCUCCAGAGUGAUAAUAUUAGGAGGUAGAACCUUUGGGAGCUGAUUAGGUCAUGAGUGGUGAGCCCUCAUAAAUGGGAUUAGUGCCCUUAUUAAAAAAAGAGACUCUGCGGGAGCUUGUUUGCCCCUUCUACCAUGUGAGGAUGCAGCGAGAAGGCACAAUCUAUGAGGAAGCAAGCCCUUGCCAGACACUGAGUCUGUAGGUAUCUUGAUCUUGGACCUCUCAACUGUAAGAAAUAAAUUUCUGGUGUUUAUGAACUACCCAGUUUAUAAUAUUGCAUUAUAGCAGGCCAAAAAGACUAAGACAGGAACUAAGAUAGCUCUCUUUGUCUAAAGUGAGCCAUCAAAUAAACGUGAGGCAGGAGAAAAUACUGUGAAGUUUUAAGAAGAAGAGAAAAUUUAAAAAUAAGAGUCAGUGGGAAUUUGGCUCAAACCUACCUAGAUUCAAAUUCCAACUAACUCUUACAGGAAUGCUUGCACCCUGAAGAAAAGAGAAAAUCAGUGAGCUAUAUGGUUUUUCUUUACCAUAAAAUUUCACCUGUUAGGUAUCUCUCCAAUGGAACAAUUUUAUUAGUUAUCUAAUACUUAACAAGAUAUCUUUUGCAAAGAUUACUACCUUAAUCCAACCAUACUAACUUGAUAUGUCUCACCGUUUCGCUGGGUCAGGAAUUUUAAAGAUACUUGACUGGGAAGUUUUGACUCAGGGUACCUCCUGAGGGUGUAGUCAAAUAUUGGCGUGGACUACAGACACCUGAAAAUUUGAUUAAAGCUGAAGGGUUCAUUUUCAGGUCACGCUGCUGCAAAGCUGGCAUAUUAGUGCUAGAUGUUACCAAGAGGCUUUAGUGGCUUUUCAUGAAAGCCUCUCAAUGGGGCUGCUUAAAUGUCCUCACAACAGGCUGGGCUUCCCCCGUAGUAAGCAGUCCUGAAGACCAAAGCAGAAAUUGCAAUGUCUUUUAUUAACUGGAAAUCACACUUCCACAAUAUUUACUGGUCACAGAGAUCAAUCCCACUUCUAUGUGGGAGGGGAUUAGACAAGUUUAUGAACACAAAAAAGCAAUAAUCUCUGGAGUUCAUCUUGUGGGCUGACUUUUACCAUGAUCAUACUUAAAACAGAUUUAGGGAGAGAGAAAGCAGAGACAGAUUUUUCCAGCUGUGAUAGCCCACAUUAUUAAACUACACUAACAGUUUUCUUUCUGUUGUCUGUACUGAUCAUCAGGUUCUAUAGCAUGCAGCCCUGGAGUACCUUAGGUAAUGUUCAAGUACACAUUCAGAUAGACGUGAAGGAAGUAGAAUAUACUGAAAGUACCUUCUUUUUAUUUGCUGCUUCUUUUUUAAGAUAUAUCAAUCUUGCUAAAGUUGACCUAUUCUCAUUUAAAUAUUAAAAAGGAAGAAAAUAAAACAAGUGACAGAAUAGAAUAAUAAUCGUACCACAUUUUCCCAUUUUUCUUCUUUCUCUUAAACUAUCAUUUUCUGUCUUCUGCAAUCUCCUCAAGUCUCUAAGCAUUCUCCUCUUUCCUGACUAAGCUUCUACGUUUGUUAAACUAAGAAACUAAGCCUCUCAAUGUGUUACCAGACUGACUUUUAUAAGAUUAAACUCACUUAUCUACAUCUGUGGCAUAUUUCUCUGCUAUUUUAUUAUUAGGAAAGAGAAAUGUUUUUUAGCUACUAGCUUUCCCUCUUACUCAACAAAAUGACCCCAGCAACUAUUUCCUUUCUUUCCUCAAUAUUCAAGGUUUUUUUUCUUUUUUCAAACUGCCUCAUGACAAUCAGCCUAUAAACAUGCUGUUAAUUUUACCAUUGUAUUUGCUUUUUUCCCAUAUUUGUCUUCAAAUGUUUUCCAUUUAUCUUUUCCCUUUUAAGAAACUUCUUGAGGAGACCUAGCAAGAUGGCCCAAUGGGAACAGCUCCAGUGUGCAGCUCCCAGUGAGAUUGAUGCAGAAGGUUGGUGAUUUUUGCAUUUCCAACUGAGAUACCUGGCUCAUCUCACUGGGACUGGUUAGACAGUGGGUGCAGCCCACAGAGGUCAAGCUGAA